AAAAAUCCUGAAACACCCCCUUCCCCGAAUCAAUAAUCAUUUGUGCAUCCCCAUUAGCCCCUUCUGAAGCAAAGCAAAGAGAACCCUAGCCCUAGGAUCCUUGCCGCCGCCGUCCCCAAGUUUUCGGCGCCUCCAGUUCUUCCUCUUCCCCCUGUUCGGAACCCAGGUAGCUCGGCUCGUCAUCCCCAUCUUCCCUGUCUUCUCUGUUCGUGGCUUGGAGCAGCUCGCCGUUGGUUCGUCCUUUGCCAUCACCUCGCCUAUGGUCGUCGUCUCGCUGGUUGCCAUCCGUGUCUCCGUCGAAGGUUAGUGAUGGAUAUGUUUAAUUUUGCUUCUGGUUACUGAUGGCUCUGUUAGUCUGUUUAAUUUUGCUUCGCAUCCGCUCGCCUCACCUAUCGUCGUCGUCUCGCGGGUUGCCAUCCAUGUCUCGUCGAAGAAGGUUCAGUGUUGGCUUCAACUUUCAAAUGGGAAUUGGGAGCUGGUGAAGAUAAUAACAUCUUCUAGAACUGAGUCUGUUGUUUUACUGCCUGAUGGAAAAGUAAGAUAUGAUCUAGAAUUACCAUAGUAUGUUUGUUCCAUCUAGCUGGACUCAGUGAGACAACUGAAAAAUGUUGUUUUAAUUUAACCUUGUUAAUCAUGUAAAAUUCAGACAAAAGCAGGGCCUAUUUUGGUUGCCAUAAAUCCCUUCAAGAAAGUUCCUUUGUAUGGUAAUGAUUAUAUUGAAGCCUACAAGCGUAAGAAUUAGAAGGGCCUGUUUUAUUUUACUUUUUGACUUAGCUACAUUAAAGUAAUAUUCUCUAUCUUUAACUGAUGCAUUGCAAUUCAAUUCAACUAUUUUUAAUGGAAGUAUGAUUAUAUGUUAAUUGCCAA
Molecule: long non-coding RNA, 867 nt
Organism: Arachis ipaensis
Lineage: Eukaryota; Viridiplantae; Streptophyta; Magnoliopsida; Fabales; Fabaceae
Source: RefSeq, a predicted model, not a curated record